This is a long non-coding RNA of Alexandromys fortis (reed vole), 3443 nucleotides long. RefSeq lists it as uncharacterized. The record is from RefSeq and is a predicted model, not a curated record. The transcript is spliced from 4 exons. NCBI's taxonomy places the organism in Eukaryota, Metazoa, Chordata, Mammalia, Rodentia, Cricetidae.
CCUGGUCCACAAGAACUAGUUCCAGGACAACCAGUCUUGAAAAAAAAAAAUUGAAUGAUAAAAAUUGCUAGGCAUAGUGGUGCACAGCUUUAUCCCCAGUUCUUGGGGGACAAAGGCAAUCGGAGCGCUGUGUGGGUUCAAAGCCCUCUUGCUCUACAUAGCAAAUUCUAGGCCAGCCCAGAAACCUUGUCUAAAAACAACAAAAGAAUGGUUCAGAUGAUAAUAUAUUUAUUAUUGUACAUAUAUUUAUCACAAAAAGUUCUAGGGCUGGGGAGAUAGCUCAUAAAGUGUUUGCUGUGUAUGCAUAAGGGCCUGUGUUUGGUCCCCUAAAUCCAAAUUUAAAUUAAAAGCAACAGCAACAAAGGGUGUGAUGAUAUAUGUUUGCAAUUCCAGCCUGCAAGGUGGACACAGGAGGAUGCCUGGGACUUGUGAACCAUCCAUCCUAAGCCUCUGUCAGAGAUAAGCCCUACAAGAUAGCUGGCUUCUGCGGAACAACAGCCAAGAUUGACCUCUGGUUCCCACAUGUAUGCACAUCCAUGUCCACCAGAUAAACAUGUACCCGCUACACACACACACACACACACACACACACACACGCACGCACACAAACAACACACAUGCAUGAAGUCAGCCAAUCUCGAAGAGGAAGGCUCGGUAGGCUCUGUUUCUAUGAGGGAGGGAGAAAUGAAGUUGAUUUUUAAGUCUUUAUUUUGAGUUUAUUUUGGGGUCUUCUUGCUUUGCUGCACACCUGUCUACUGGUGGAGCAGAGCAGCCAAGACACAGACCACGGAUGCUCUUAGGUGAGGGUCAAGUGAUCCCCAGCGGCAUCUACCUCUUCUGGGACUUUUCUUACCUAUCCACUUCACUUCAACCUUCUGCUCUUAGGAGUAACGUUGGAGCAUCCUCCGGUCCCCUGAGGGUGUGUGAAGCCAGAAUUGGUGGAUGGAAAUAUUAUAGGGUUCUUUCCAUCCCUAUCAUCUGUUUAUUUUCCUUCCUGUAUAUUUCAUAACGUGGUGUAGAGAUUUCUGAUUCAGCGGUUAAAAUAGCCUGUGUGUUAGUUAUCACUUCCCCGUGACCCACUUUAGACCCAAUUACUCAUUCUGGCGUUUGGGGUUCGAGUUUCAAAAAGAUUGUACUCUGCAACUGAAGUAUGUGUCUGGAGGAGAAAGGGGGGCUGGAGAGGACAGCGACAGAAUGCCUGUUUCUGUCCCAUUCUCCUGCGAAAGCUCUCACGCUCUACCCUCUCCAGUUACCCCACAACUAACACUCAAUGUUUCUCCAUCCUCACUCUCAUUUCCCUCCUGGGUGCUCAACUGGGACCCCAGUGAGACAGGUGCCUGCUCCUGGGAGACUCACACCAGGGAGCUUUCUCUCCUACUGUAGAGUCCAGCAAGAGUCUGGAGCAGGAAUUCCCAUCCAGUGGGCCGGCACUUGCAGACGCUCCCCGGAUAAUUCUGAGCUGGACCCUUGGGCCACAUUUUUUGAGUGACACACUGUGCCUGGGAAAAGGAGCUGGACGCUAUGCUCCACGGAAGAAACCGCGAAGACUGAAGGAGCCCAGAAAAAGGAGACACUGGGGUAGUCUGAGAGAUGAGGGGAGAGGACCCUGCGCAGAUGCGGAGGCACAGUGCGUUCUGUGGCGUGUGGCCUCUCCUCACGGAAUAAAAGGCCAGGGAGGGAGAAACGCCACUGUGGUGACAGCUAUUUGAAGAUGUGAAGUUUCCAAAGACCUCAGUGCUGGGACAUUCAACUCCAGGGCCCUACUACAGGGCUGCCAGGAUAAAUAGGAAAAAGGCAAUGGGUUCAGAAAUGCCUGGUACCAACCAGAAGUGCUCCUCACCUGCUUCUGCUUCCGAUUGCUCCAAGACUACUCAACACUUCUCUUCCGUAGCCUGGACCUCUGCAUCCUUCUGGAGCUGUGUCCUCCCUGGCAUCUCACAGCCACCUCAGAACCCAAGCUGCCUGCUGACUGAACCCUGCUUUCUACCUAAAGACACCUCUGCCUGGAUGUUCUUACCUCAGUCAGCGGGACUAGGGACCUUCCACCCAUCCCAUCACCUACAAGCCUUGUCCACACUCCACAGUUUGGAAAUUACUAAUCCUCUCAGCUUGACUCCCAAGCUACCAGCCAUUAUGACUCAUCUGUCCUUCAGUCUCUCUGGCUGGGUAAAUAUUAGCACAUGAAGAGACCACUGAAAUCAUUCUCUUCGGCCCCUCGGGAGUGACUUUAGCCUCUUGGGUAUAUGUUCAGCCUCUUUGGGAGUGUCACAAAUCCCUCACCAGUAUUCACCAGCCCUUCGGGCUUGCUCUCAUCCACCUCAGGAGUGUUCUCAGCCCUUCUGGAGUGUUCUCGGCCCCUCGAGAACGUUCUCAGCUCCUCACAAGUGUUCUCAGCCUGUGUGGUGUGUUCUCAGCUCCUCCAGAGUGUCCUCAGCCCCUGAGGUGUGUUUUUAGCGCCUCCUGAAAACAGCUCUUCAAGGAUGCUCUUAGCCCCACUAACAGUUUGUCGGCCUCCUUGGGCACGUUCUCAGCCUGUUGGGAGUAUUCUCAGCCCUUCAGGUGUUUCCAGCUCCCCCAGGUUGUCUGUCCUGCGCCUUCCACCUCUAGAAGGUGACAGCUGGAUAUUUCUCAGGUGAGAGGGGUGCACUCCCUUGUGUCUUUACAGGUGAGAGUUGCAGAAUUGGGUGCCUGCAGUUGAUGCUAGCUUGUCUUUGGUUUCCUGCCCCACUAACCCUCAAGGGUGUCUUUCUUCUUUGUGGUUAGCUCAAGACUACCACGUGGGUUCUUCGUUGCUAGCCUCACACCCACAUCCCAGACCGGAAGAAACAACUGCCAGCAUCCCUGUCUAGAAAGCAUCUCUUUUCCAGAAAUCCUCAGAAGAUUUCCCUUAAUCUCACCAACCAGAGCUAUGUCACAGGACAUCCACAGCUAAGGUUAGUCCAAGGCAAACAGCUAGGAGAGUCUCAAUUCUGACCUGGAAGCACUCACUCCCCGGAAGUGUCUGCCUGUGGGGACCAAGAAGAAAAGAGAUUGGUAGUGAUUAGUGCCCUCCUCAUGCUCCAUCUAAAAUGGGGUUAGAAUUUACCUUGGUGAGUCAUUGGAUUUCAGAGAGUGAUGUGGGAAUGAUUUCUUACUAAUAAAGAAACUGCCUUGGCCCAUUUUAUUGGAUAGAAAAUUAGGUAGGCGGAGUAUACAGAAGAGAAUUCUGGGAGAAAGAAGGUUAGAGGAAGAGUCGCCAUGAUGCUCCCACUCCAGACAGACGCAGGUUAAGAUCCUCUCUGGUAAGCCAGCUCAUGGGCUACACAGAAUAUUAGAAAUGGGUUAGAACAAUAUGUAAGAGCUAGCCAAUAAGAAACUGGACCUAGCCGGGCCAGGCAGUGUUUGAAAGAAUACAGUUUCCGUGUAAUUAUUUCUGGGUAUAAACUAGCCAUGCGGGCAGCCGG